CCGCCUCACCGUGCGCCACCCGCCGCCGCCGCCACCUCCUGCCCCGCCCCGCGACCCCUGCCGCCGCCACCUCCCGUCCCGCCCCGCCGCGCGCCACCCCUCUUCUCCAUCUCUCCCUCUCCAUCUCCCUCCUCCCUCCCUGUUCCACCCCACCCCUAGUCCCAGCAGGCUCAACCAUGGUGGUCAACACGGGGACGUGAGUGUGCACGGGCGGCGUCGGUGGACGAGAUAUGCCAAACUAAAGGAGGCGGCUAGAGGAAGCAUUGGAGGCCAAGUUCGGCAGCAACGGUCAGCUGUCGUCGGUGGCCGGCCGGCGACAUUUGCAAAGGAAUGAGGGUGGCCGAAGACCGACAACAGGGGGCUGUCGAACUAGCCAAGGUACCAUCACUCCAUCAUCUUCGGAGAUCGUUCGGUGAUGUCCAAUGCAUCAUGUCAUGGAGUGGAGGCGCGGACUGCCCUGCGCAAGUAGGUUAUGUGCUUGAGACGAUUGAAUGUCCGAUAAUAUGAUAAACCUUCAGCGAACAGCGGCUCCAAACUCCAUCGCCUGAUCUCAAAGAUAGCUCUAUUAAAUCACUUGAUGAUAUAACAGGACAUUGGCAGGAAUUCCUGAUGACUGAGGAAAUUAUGGCAGACAUUCUUGCCGGUACAUUAAAUCUUGGUUUGAUGGGUACUUUUCUGAAGAAACUAUUGAGUCCCAGGCGGAUCAACUUAUUUUCACGUCAGGUUUUAGGUGUUUCCCAGCUAGGCAGCGAUUUCUUCUUCAGAAGACCACAUCGCGGGCAUUAUCUUAAGUGGACCAUUGAACUGCAAUUUUUUCCUUUCGCAUGUACAUGCUUAUUAUGUGUGGAUUUUGAAAGCUAUUUCUACAUAUUCUAUGUCCUUUGAGACUAAACUGUGUAGUUACUCUGCAUCAGUUCACCUGCUCAAUAAUUGUGCUAGAGGAGUUAGUCAUAGUAUGUCCAGAAAUCCCUUGGAGCACUACUCCAGGUAACAUUGUUAUGUUGUCUUUGCUAGAAAACUGUAUAUGUAGUCUAGAAUUGGGUGUACAUGUUGGUUCGGUCCAUGGACGUUUUCUUUGAGAUUCACUUAUGGACCUUGCAGUAAUGUACUCCCUCAGUAAACAAAUAUAAGACAUUUUAGGUCACUAAAGUAGUUACCUGAAAUAUCUUAUAUUACAUAAUAGAGGGAGUAUUAAUUUUUGUUUUGAUGCAUUUUAAAUUAAACUUCAAAGUGUCUAUUUGAAUUUUGAGCUGAAUCUAAACCAUGGUUUGCAUUCAGCUAUAUUUCUAAAACAUUGUACGAAGUCCUAUUUUUAGGAUGCCAAGUUUCUUCUUUCCUGUAGGAAAUUUUGGCCCUAUAUAUUCUAAUUUUUUGUCAUAUUCAGUUUUAAUGGUCGGAAAGAAACAAUGUUAUUUUUUAUUAUCAAAUGGAGUCAAGUUGCUAUUCUGUAAUUUACAAAGACGUAAGGAAGUGUUAUUUUUGUGUCUCAUUGCUUAUGCCUUUUAUAUUUAGAGGAUAUUAUGGAUGGGAACUGGCUUAUGUCCAGUAAUGGUAACAGAGUGUUCCCAUUGUAGAUUUCCAUUGUGUGUUAGAAAAGGUAUGCACCUGGAAUUAUAGGCCUUGCCCAGCUGUUAAAUUUUUAUAUGUAGUUUCUUUUUUUCACUAGAGAUAUUUAGUUUGUUUAUGACAACUAGAGAAGGAUGAUGAGGCAGACAAACGACUGAAAUAUUGAUUAAUUGUAAUGAUUAAUGCAUUUACAUUUAUGAGUUUUCCACCACUUUUCGACUAUCUCUAAUAAUGAUGGUUUGUCUAUUUUCACUUCUCGAUUUUACCUACUAAAUGGAUUUUUGGUCUACAAUUCGGUACAUAUAUAUAACUUUCCCCAAUACCGAAAGUCAACAGUCAUACUUAAAUAACCUUUCACAACCCUUUCUUUAACCCUUAUGCUUUUUUGUUUCUAUUCUACUUGGAACAGAGGAAAAUGCCCUUAUGGACCUUUUGAGCUUUUUUGUACAGUGAAAGUUAACAAACAACCGAGCCUGCUAUUCUGGUUGACAUCUUAAUGGAUGCCGAUAAAUUUGAGGUUCUCUCUUGCAUGAGGCAUUGUAGCCAGUUUCUCACAAGCUUUCAUAUGACCACAGAAUCUGCGCUGCUCUACCUAGACUAUCCAUGCUACACUUCGAUGGCAGUUGAAGUUCACCAUUUGAUAGUUGCAGCUAAGGAUUUCCUUGCCAACAAAUACAGUGAUGUGCAUAAGUGUGUGAUCCCCAUUGGAUGGAGCCACCAUUUCUUUCUUUUCAUACAGAAGUGUACACAUUGUUGAAGCAAAAUCAUGUAUGAAGUGUACUCAAGGCUUGGUUUGUAUUAUUUCAGGUUCCGAAAUGAAGUGAUGAACAUGCCACUUGCUGGGAUUGAAGCCAUAUUCUCAAGUACCGACCUACAUGUGAAAAAAUGAAGAUGUCUUAUACCGUCUAUUGCUCAACUAGGCCCGUGUGCAAUACCAGAAUUAGAAGAAAGACAUAAGAUCUUGAGUUCUCAUUUGGUUCUGCUGGUGCGCUUCAGUCAUAUGACUUGUGAGACACUUCAGGAGAUUUUCACAUGCACUGACGAUGACAUAGACCAUGAGCAAAGCUUAUCACUGGGGUACUUAUGUGCAAAGCUUAUCCAGCACACAAACCAGGCCAGGUGCUCUUGCAGCAUGUGCAACCUCUUGUUUGCUAUAUGCAGAGCUAGCUUACAAGUAGAGGCAUCUGAAAGUGGUUCUGUUUGAGACCGCAACGAGAUGGAGGUGGUGGUCUCGACACCCAUGCUGGAGACUAUCUGGUGGUACAAUUGCUAUCAAAUGUAGCUUGGUUUGUGUGUGCAUCUCCUAGCUUUUGUGUCUGUGUGUAGUGUUAUUGGUUAAUUAUGAUGUGUCCUUAGUGAUCUCAAGUCUCAAUAGUAUGUGAAUGGGUGUAAUCAGAACAAACAUGUUUAUCUUAUUUGUGGUAGGAAAUGGUGUAUAUUUGUUUCGUCUUAGGAGACAGGCUGAUGGGUCUGCUUGAACUUGCUCGUGUGGAGAAAACACAACCUGAAGAGCUUUGCUUUUGAUCAAA
Long non-coding RNA from Aegilops tauschii subsp. strangulata, 3095 nucleotides. RefSeq lists it as uncharacterized. The record is from RefSeq and is a predicted model, not a curated record. NCBI's taxonomy places the organism in Eukaryota, Viridiplantae, Streptophyta, Magnoliopsida, Poales, Poaceae.